GACGUAGGGGGCCAGCGUUGUUCGGAAUUACUGGGUGUAAAGCGUGCGCAGGCGGUUCGUUAAGUCAGAUGUGAAAGCCCCGGGCUCAACCUGGGAACUGCAUUUGAAACUGGCGGGCUUGAGUGUGGCAGAGGGGGGUGGAAUUCCACGUGUAGCAGUGAAAUGCGUAGAGAUGUGGAGGAAUACCGAUGGCGAAGGCAGCCCCCUGGGAUAACACUGACGCUCAUGCACGAAAGCGUGGGGAGCAAACAGG
This 253-nucleotide ribosomal RNA is filed under the name uncultured bacterium. RNAcentral's name for it is "partial 16S ribosomal RNA". It matches the Rfam family "Bacterial small subunit ribosomal RNA", at positions 524 to 776 of the family's 1533-position model. The record is from RNAcentral.